ACCUGCGGAAGGAUCAUUACAGUAUAUCGUUUUAAAGGGGGCGUGCACGUGUCCUAUGCCCUCCGUCCCCCCGGGGGGACGGACGGAAAGGCGUUUUGCGCCUUCUAUAAUCCCUAUAUAUAUAUACACCCCUGUGCACCUAUUGGGGGGAAGCGUUCUCGGGCUCGACUCNUCGGGCCGAGGCGGGUUCUCCCUACUACACCUUACACACACACACGUCNUCCUGUCUGUUUGGGCUCUACGGAGCGUUAAUGUAACAACUUUCAACAACGGAUCUCUUGGCUUUCGCAUCGAUGAANGACGCCGCGAAAGUGCGAAACNUAAUGUGAAUUGCAUAAUUCANUGAAUCAUCGAAUCUUUGAACGCAUCUUGCGCUCCNUGGUAUUCCGAGGAGCAUGCCUGUUUGAGUGUCNUGAACACCCUCAACCCUCCUUUCCCUUUGACCGGGGAGAAAAAGGUUGGAUUUNGACGCCUGCGACGGGCCCUCGUGCCUUUUGCUCGUCUUUAAAUGCAUCAACUGGUCCCUUGGAGUCAGUUCGGCAAACGGCGUGAUAUAACGAAAC
This 563-nucleotide ribosomal RNA is filed under the name Ramaria rubiginosa. Its description in RNAcentral is "eukaryotic LSU rRNA". The stretch from base 259 to 413 matches the Rfam family "5.8S ribosomal RNA". Lineage: Eukaryota; Fungi; Basidiomycota; Agaricomycetes; Gomphales; Gomphaceae. The record is from RNAcentral.